This 232-nucleotide ribosomal RNA is filed under the name uncultured bacterium. Its description in RNAcentral is "partial 16S ribosomal RNA". It matches the Rfam family "Bacterial small subunit ribosomal RNA", at positions 99 to 334 of the family's 1533-position model. The record is from RNAcentral.
CGGACGGGUGAGUAAUGUCUGGGAAACUGCCCGAUGGAGGGGGAUAACUACUGGAAACGGUAGCUAAUACCGCAUAACGUCGCAAGACCAAAGAGGGGGACCUUCGGGCCUCUUGCCAUCGGAUGUGCCCAGAUGGGAUUAGCUAGUAGGUGGGGUAACGGCUCACUUAGGCGACGAUCCCUAGCUGGUCUGAGAGGAUGACCAGCCACACUGGAACUGAGACACGGUCCAG